AAAUGAUGGAGGUCAAGUGUGUGCAAAUGUAAAGGGAGACAUGGACAUCACACACCCAUUCAAACUGCACAUGCAAGGAAUUGAAGUGGUGCUCUCCUUAGCCUAUAAAUACAUCCACCAUUCCCCUUCCUAAGUACAAUCUGGAUCUAUAAAAAAAGAGCUUCAUUCACAAACACAAGUCCCUUGCCGUGAGCUCCAUUCCACUUCAUCCAUACAUUCAAACACAUCUCCAUACACUUCCAUUUUCCAUGCCAUGAGAUCCAUUCCAUCCAUACAUCCAUAAAUCCCACAUUUCACAAACACAAAUACAUUUUCCUUCCCUUGGCUGAGACAUUCACCAAUCCUAAAUACAUUCCUAACCUUUCCAUAUAUCCAUACACAUCCUAGACACUUGUGCCAUAACAAAGAGAGAAUGAGGACCCUUGGACGUGCUUGCCAUUCAAGUUGGAUAGUUGGAGCGUUUUUAGGUGUUUUCAUUCUUUUAUUUUCAAUGUCUAAAUUUGUUUAUCUUUGCUUUGUGAGUAUGAGGAACUAAACCCACCUUAGCUAGGGGGAAUUCGAAACCAUGUUCAUGCUUGCAAUAUGGUUUGAUUACUUUCAGUUGUGAUUCAUAACUUGUGAAUUCAAUUUACUUAUCCAUUCGAAUUAAAACUGAUUUGUGUAUGUUGGUUGAGAGUGCACUCUUAAUUUUCAUGCAUAAAUCUGAUGCUAGGAUAUAAGGGAGUUUCACCUAAUCGUUAUGAACUUAUAUUCACAAGUAGUGAAGGUUGCUCGUCACAACUGUGUUAAGUAAAUUCUUGGCAUAAGUUUCAUGCAAUUCAUAGUUACAAGUGUUUCGUCAAUGCUUAUGAUUUUCAUAGAACUUAAUGAUUUUUGCUUGUAUCUCUACUAUGCAAUUCAUGUAGGGAACCUGUGGGGAAUGCUUUGGGUUGUUGUAUGCAAUCAUCCAAUUCAAUGAAAUUAGGAAAAUCUGAGGGUUAAUUAGUGCAAUUCAUAGUUAAUCUGGGGCGUUGAGAAUUCGUAGUUUUUUUUAAAAGCAACUGGAAAUCGUUUUGUUUGCAAGUGUGUCAUGUGUGGGGAAGAACCUGCUAGCUAGCCUUCCAUCCAUUCAAUUUACUCAAAUUCGUGCAGAUUUCAUUAGUUCUUUAAUUUACUUGUUUUGUUUUCAAAUUCAUCAAAACUAAAACCCCCUUUACCUUGUUGAGUCAUAUUAGUUAGAAACUGAUUUAGUUUGUAUUUUUAAGUAUUUCGAACCAAGUUGAAACCAAAAUUCGUCCAAAAGUGUGUUUAGAGUCCAAAUCUACCCAGUUUGUGUUUUUAGGCAGAUUUGAGUGUGUUUAGCUUGUUUAGAGUUCUUUGAGAUUGUUUUGAAUUCUUUGAGUCUAGUUUAGUGUUUUUAACUUUGUUUAUAUAUUUUAAAGUAAGUUUAGAGGUUUUAGCAAGCCCUCGUAAUCCCUGGUUUAGAACGAUCCCUACUUGCAUUUAUACUACAAUUUGACAACAAGAGGGUUUAAUUUGUGUGUUAAGUUAAUUUUCGCAUCAACGAGUUGAUGACUAUGUAGAUCAGGUCCCCUUUACCUCUCAUGGUGUCCAUGCCGAACACGAUGCCGCAAUCAGCAAGCUUUUGGCGGUUGUUGCUCUACUCCUCACAGCGAAAAUGUAGAGAAAAUUAACAAAACCUAGACUGGGGUUUUGGGCUAAAAGCUAAAAAUGCAUGAUUUGUGGAAAACCCAGCUGGGAUUAAAAGCUGGAAGAAGAAGAAGAAGGUUUUGGGGGGGGGGGGGGGGGGGGAAGAGAGCGAGACCGUGGGAGAGAGAGAUCGAGAGGGAGGAGAUUGAAGAUCGAGAGGGAGGAGAUUGAGAAUCGACAGAUCCAAAAGGGAGGACUGAGAAAAGGAGAGUAUUCGAGAAUGUGUGAGAAAAUAGGAGAGGUCCAUAAUUACUAAUUUAAUAAAAUAGGAAAAAUAUGAGAAAAUAGAAUUUAACUCAGAGUCCCAUAAUUACUCAAGACACCCACCAAGAGCAUUUUAAUUAUUUCACAUCUUUUGGCAAUAGAAUAAUAUUAUUUCAAGGUACGAGUUGUAACAGUCUACCCUCGUUAAGAAAAUCUCAUCCCCAAAAUUUCAAAAACGACUGGUAGAAUAGAUGUGGAUAUUGAGUUCUCAUAUUUUCCUCUGUCUGCUAAAUAGCUUUUUCUAUCGUGUGUUUAUUCCACAAAACCUUCAUCAAUAGCAUCAACUCGGUUAAAAGAGUUUUCUCUCUACAAUUUAGUAUAGUAACUUGUUCCUCUCCAUAGCUUAGAUCAUUCCGUAGCUCCAUUUGUGAUGAUUCUGAAUAUGAGAUGCGUCUAGAACAUACCUUCGAAGCAUCGAUACAUGAAACAUAUCAUGCACAAGUGAUAACUCCGGAGUAAAUCCAAACAAUAAUAUGCACUUCACUCAUUUUAGAGAGGGAGUAAGGACCAAUGGAUCGAGGAUUGAGCUUUCCUCGCUUCCUGAGCCUCAUCACCCCUUUCUUGGUGAUAAGGAGUACACAAUCCCUAACAGUGCCAAGUCAUGGUUUCUUGUAUAAUCAUCAGUCAUAUUCUUAUGUUGAUUUUGAGUAACCUUCAAAUUCCUCCUUAGCACUUUCGACUCUUUAGUAGCAUUAUCCACUAGUUUUGGACUCAUAACAGUUUGUUCUUCAACUUCGUUCCAAUACAAUGGAGUUUUGCCAACUUUACCAUUCAUGCCUCGAAUGGUAACGUACCGAGACUUGUAUGGAAGCAGUUGUUAUAGGAAAAUCCUAUCAUAGAUAGAUGGUGAUUUCAACUUUCACUGAACUGCAUCACAGUUACCAUUAACCUAUCCUUCAAUGUCUAAAUAGUCCUCUCAGACCAUCUGUCAGUUGAAGAAUGAUGAGUAGUACUGUGUAGUAUGUGAGUACCUGUGGUGUGCUAAAAAGCCUUCCAAAGCUUGGACGUGGGGCAUCUAGAUCAGAAUAAUUGUUACAGGUAUUCCGUGCAAAUUAAUAAUCUGGUUGCUAAAAAGUUUAGCCAAUUUGGUAAUAGAAUAUGUUUCACGAACAUCAAAUAAACAUGCUGACUUCGUGAGACGAUUGACGAUUAUGCAAAUGUCAUCAGUACUAAUUCUCGGUUCAGAAAUUUGGAUUAGAAAUUUAUCGUAAUCUCUUCUCAUUCUCCAUUUAGGGAUAAGAAGAAAUUGAGAUAAGCUUACUGGGUUCCCAUCUCUCGGCUUUCACUUGUUAGCAUACUAACCAUCUUCUUACAUAUUCAUCUGUUUCCAUUUCAUACUCGACCAAUAGUAGAAGGGCUAGAUAGUGUAAUACAUCUUGGUAGAACCAAGAUGCACAGCACUACGCUGAGAUAUGUGCCUCAUCUAGUGAUGUGAAAAUUAUGUUGACCCUCAAAUUAACCCUCUUUUUAUCAAUUGUAGCAAAGUAUGUAAGUAGGGAUCGUUCUAAACCGGGGAUUAGGAGGGAUUGCAAAAUCACUUGAAAACUGACUCAAAUACGUAAAAACAAGUUUAAAAACUAAACUAGACUCAAAGAAUGCAAAACUAAACUUUAAAA
This 3569-nucleotide long non-coding RNA is filed under the name Malus domestica (apple). RNAcentral's name for it is "long non-coding RNA (MDOM_LNC016837)". Lineage: Eukaryota; Viridiplantae; Streptophyta; Magnoliopsida; Rosales; Rosaceae. The record is from RNAcentral.